AGCAGUCGCCGCGGUAACACGAAGGGGGCUAGCGUUGCUCGGAAUCACUGGGCGUAAAGGGUGCGUAGGCGGGUCUUUAAGUCAGGGGUGAAAUCCUGGAGCUCAACUCCAGAACUGCCUUUGAUACUGAAGAUCUUGAGUUCGGGAGAGGUGAGUGGAACUGCGAGUGUAGAGGUGAAAUUCGUAGAUAUUCGCAAGAACACCAGUGGCGAAGGCGGCUUACUGGCUCGAAACUGACGCUGAGGCGCGAAAGCGUGGGGAGCGAACAGGAUUAGAGACCCCCGUAGUCCCUGUCUCUUAUAC
This 303-nucleotide ribosomal RNA is filed under the name uncultured bacterium. RNAcentral's name for it is "partial 16S ribosomal RNA". It matches the Rfam family "Bacterial small subunit ribosomal RNA", at positions 507 to 807 of the family's 1533-position model. The record is from RNAcentral.